Molecule: ribosomal RNA, 252 nt
Filed under: uncultured bacterium
Lineage: Bacteria
Description: partial 16S ribosomal RNA
Rfam family: Bacterial small subunit ribosomal RNA
Source: RNAcentral
UACGUAGGGGGCUAGCGUUAUCCGGAAUUACUGGGCGUAAAGGGUGCGUAGGUGGUUUCUUAAGUCAGAGGUGAAAGGCUACGGCUCAACCGUAGUAAGCCUUUGAAACUGGGGAACUUGAGUGCAGGAGAGGAGAGUGGAAUUCCUAGUGUAGCGGUGAAAUGCGUAGAUAUUAGGAGGAACACCAGUUGCGAAGGCGGCUCUCUGAACUGUAACUGACACUGAGGCACGAAAGCGUGGGGAGCAAACAGG